AGUGAACGCUGGCGGUAUGCCUAACUCAUGCAAGUCGAACGAGUGGCGGACGGGGGAGGAAUACUUCGGUAUCUUCUCUGUUUUGGGCGCUAACGUAGGGAAACCUACGCUAAUACCGCAUACGAUUGAAUGAGCCGCUGUCGGAUUAGCUAGUUGGCGGGGUAAAGGCCCACCAAGGCGACGAUCCGUAGCUGGGCUGAGAGGAUGAUUAGCCACACUGGAACGGAGAGACGGUCCAGACUCCUACGGGAGGCAGCAGUGGGGAAUAUUGGACAAUGGGCGCAAGCCUGAUCCAGCCAUACCGCGUGGGUGAGGAAGGCCUUCGGGGUGUAAAGCCCUUUUGUUGGGAAAGCGGUACCAAAAGAAUAAGCACCGGCUAACUUCGUGCCAGCAGCCGCGGUAAUUC
RNAcentral lists this ribosomal RNA (406 nucleotides) under uncultured bacterium. RNAcentral describes it as "partial 16S ribosomal RNA". It matches the Rfam family "Bacterial small subunit ribosomal RNA", at positions 29 to 526 of the family's 1533-position model. The record is from RNAcentral.